RNAcentral lists this ribosomal RNA (446 nucleotides) under uncultured bacterium. Its description in RNAcentral is "bacterial SSU rRNA". It matches the Rfam family "Bacterial small subunit ribosomal RNA", at positions 329 to 792 of the family's 1533-position model. The record is from RNAcentral.
GGCCAGACUCCUACGGGAGGCAGCAGUGGGGAAUAUUGCACAAUGGGGGAAACCCUGAUGCAGCGACGCCGCGUGAGCGAUGAAGUAUUUCGGUAUGUAAAGCUCUAUCAGCAGGGAAGAAAAUGACGGUACCUGACUAAGAAGCCCCGGCUAACUACGUGCCAGCAGCCGCGGUAAUACGUAGGUGGCAAGCGUUGUCCGGAUUUACUGGGUGUAAAGGGCGUGUAGCCGGGCUUACAAGUCAGAUGUGAAAUCCGGGGGCUCAACCCCCGAACUGCAUUUGAAACUGUAGGUCUUGAGUAUCGGAGAGGCAGGCGGAAUUCCUAGUGUAGCGGUGAAAUGCGUAGAUAUUAGGAGGAACACCAGUGGCGAAGGCGGCCUGCUGGACGACAACUGACGGUGAUGCUCGAAAGCGAGGGGAGCAAACAGGAUUAGAUACCCUCGUA